AGAUCUUUAACAAUCCGUCAAUUAGAUUGAAAAGAAUUUUUUUUGUAUAGAGAUUAGACUUAAUUUCCAACAAUUUAAGUAAAUUUUGAAAGAAAUUCAAUGAUUCAAAAGGAGAGAUAUUAGUAUUAGAAGUUCAACAUUGAGAUUGGAAUAGGAGGCUAGCCAAUAUUCAAGCAAAUUUUAGGAUUUUUCCUCCAUUUGGUAAUUACAAUUAUCUUCAAAUUUAUUGUACUUAUUUUUAACUAAGAGAUUGAAUUACAAAAGAAAUUAAAAUUAGCACAAGAUCAAUGAUUUAAUCAAUAGAUAUUAAAAUUUUAAUCUAUCUUAGGAUUGAUUUGAGUU
RNAcentral lists this long non-coding RNA (342 nucleotides) under Physcomitrium patens. RNAcentral describes it as "long non-coding RNA (PPAT_LNC006498)". Lineage: Eukaryota; Viridiplantae; Streptophyta; Bryopsida; Funariales; Funariaceae. The record is from RNAcentral.